RNAcentral lists this ribosomal RNA (253 nucleotides) under uncultured bacterium. RNAcentral's name for it is "partial 16S ribosomal RNA". It matches the Rfam family "Bacterial small subunit ribosomal RNA", at positions 524 to 776 of the family's 1533-position model. The record is from RNAcentral.
UACGAAGGGUGCAAGCGUUAAUCGGAAUUACUGGGCGUAAAGCGUGCGCAGGCGGCUAUGCAAGACAGAUGUGAAAUCCCCGGGCUCAACCUGGGAACUGCAUUUGUGACUGCAUGGCUAGAGUACGGUAGAGGGGGAUGGAAUUCCGCGUGUAGCAGUGAAAUGCGUAGAUAUGCGGAGGAACACGGAUGGCGAAGGCAAUCCCCUGGACCUGUACUGACGCUCAUGCACGAAAGCGUGGGGAGCAAACAGG